Molecule: ribosomal RNA, 305 nt
Filed under: uncultured Glomus
Lineage: Eukaryota; Fungi; Glomeromycota; Glomeromycetes; Glomerales; Glomeraceae
Description: partial 18S ribosomal RNA
Source: RNAcentral
CGUAAGGCGCCGAAUGAGUCAUUAAAAAUUAACAUCAUCCGAUCCCUAGUCGGCAUAGUUUAUGGUUAAGACUACGACGGUAUCUGAUCGUCUUCGAUCCCCUAACUUUCGUUCUUGAUUAAUGAAAACAUCCUUGGCAAAAUGCUUUUCGCAGUAGUUAGUCUUCAAUAAAUCCAAGAAUUUCACCUCUGACAAUUGAAUACUAAUGCCCCCAACUAUCCCUAUUAAUCAUUACGUCAAUCCUAAGAAACCAACAAAAUAGGAUCGAACGUCCUAUUUCAUUAUUCCAUGCUAAUGUAUUCAAG